This 240-nucleotide unclassified non-coding RNA is filed under the name soil metagenome. RNAcentral describes it as "partial contains 5.8S ribosomal RNA, internal transcribed spacer 2, and large subunit ribosomal RNA". The record is from RNAcentral.
AACGCACGAGACCUGCGGACCUGCGGAAGGAUCAUUACAGUAUAUUGAAUUCUUAUUCAUAUCAACCCACACUGUGUACCUUUUAUUUGUUGCUUCCAUGGGACAUGGCUCUGCCACGUCGGCCUCUGGGCUGAUGAGUUCCCAUGGAAGGAAACCCAUAACUCUUUUUAUUUUUGACAUCUGUCUGAAUAGUUUUUAUAAACGUUAAAACUUUUAACAACGGAUCUCUAGAUCGGAAGA